AAGAGACUCUGGAGGUAUCAGAAGUGAGAAUGCAGGAAUAAGUAGCGAGAAUGGGGGCGAGAAUCCCCCACGCCGGAAGACCAAGGGUUCCAGGGUAAAGUUUGUCUCCCCUGGGUAAGCCGGGUCCUAAGCCGAGGCUAGAUUGCGUAGGCGAAUGGAAAACAGAUUAAUAUUUCUGUGCCACUGAUAUCAAGUGAUGGAGGGACGCAGGAGGUUAUGUACGCUGGCGAACGGAAGUGCCAGUUCAAGCAUGUAGCGUGGUCUAGUAGGAAAAUCCGCUAGACUAAACGUGAGGUGUGAUGAGGAGUCGUAAGAUGGAAGGUGCAAAUACCACACUGCCGAGAAAAGCUUCUAAGCGUUAUAAAGAUAUUAGUGCCCGUACCCCAAACCGACACAGGUGGUCAGGAUGAGAAAUCUAAGGCGGACAGGCUAACUCUCGUUAAGGAACUCUGCAAAAUAGCCCCGUAACUUCGGGAGAAGGGGUGCCUUUUAUGGUGAGCGUACACGCGACGCAAAGCUAUGAGAGGCCGCAGUGAAGAGUCUCAGGCGACUGUUUAACAAAAACACAGGUCUAUGCUAAGCUGUAAGGCGACGUAUAUGGGCUGACACCUGCCCAGUGCCGGAAGGUUAAGAGGAGGAGUGAGAGCUCCGAAUUGAAGCCCCGGUGAACGGCGGCCGUAACUAUAACGGUCCUAAGGUAGCGAAAUUCCUUGUCGGGUAAGUUCCGACCUGCACGAAUGGUGUAACGAUCUGAGAGCUGUCUUGACGGGAGGCCUGGUGAAAUUGUAUUACCGGUGAAGAUACCGGUUACCUGCAGUAGGACGGAAAGACCCCAUGGAGCUUUACUGUAGCUUGGUAUUGGGUUUUGGCAUCGUAUGUAUAGGAUAGUUGGGAGACUAUGAUGCGU
RNAcentral lists this ribosomal RNA (907 nucleotides) under Cetobacterium somerae. RNAcentral describes it as "partial 23S ribosomal RNA". It matches the Rfam family "Bacterial large subunit ribosomal RNA", at positions 1265 to 2165 of the family's 2925-position model. The record is from RNAcentral. Lineage: Bacteria; Fusobacteriati; Fusobacteriota; Fusobacteriia; Fusobacteriales; Fusobacteriaceae.